CCUACGGGAGGCAGCAGUGAGGAAUAUUGGUCAAUGGGCGCGAGCCUGAACCAGCCAAGUAGCGUGAAGGAUGACUGCCCUCCGGGUUGUAAACUUCUUUUAUAAAGGAAUAAAGUGAGGCACGUGUGCCUUUUUGUAUGUACUUUAUGAGUAAGAGUAGGCUAACUCCGUGCCAGCAGCCGCGGUAAUACGGAGGAUCCGCGCGUUAUCCGGAUUUAUUGGGUGUAAAGGGAGCGUAGAUGGGUUGUUAAGUCAGUUGUGAAAGUUUGCGGCUCAACCGUAAAAUUGCAAUUGAUACUGGCAGCCUUGAGUACAGUUGAGGUAGGCGGAAUUCGUGGUGUAGCGGUGAAAUGCUUAGAUAUCACGAAGAACGCCGAUUGCGAAGGCAGCCUACUAGGCUGCCACUGACGCUGAGGCUCGAAAGUGUGGGUAUCAAACAGGAUUAGAUACCCCUGUAGUC
This 460-nucleotide ribosomal RNA is filed under the name uncultured bacterium. RNAcentral describes it as "partial 16S ribosomal RNA". It matches the Rfam family "Bacterial small subunit ribosomal RNA", at positions 338 to 795 of the family's 1533-position model. The record is from RNAcentral.